Molecule: ribosomal RNA, 856 nt
Filed under: human gut metagenome
Description: bacterial SSU rRNA
Rfam family: Bacterial small subunit ribosomal RNA
Source: RNAcentral
CCUACGGGAGGCAGCAGUGAGGAAUAUUGGUCAAUGGGCGUAAGCCUGAACCAGCCAAGUAGCGUGAGGGAAGACUGCCCUAUGGGUUGUAAACCUCUUUUGUGCGGGGAUAAAGUGAGGGACGUGUCCCUUAUUGCAGGUACCGCACGAAUAAGGACCGGCUAAUUCCGUGCCAGCAGCCGCGGUAAUACGGAAGGGCCGGGCGUUAUCCGGAUUUAUUGGGUUUAAAGGGAGCGCAGGCCGUCCUUUAAGCGUGCUGUGAAAUGCCGCGGCUCAACCGUGGCACUGCAGCGCGAACUGGAGGACUUGAGUACGCACGAGGUAGGCGGAAUUCGUGGUGUAGCGGUGAAAUGCUUAGAUAUCACGAAGAACUCCGAUUGCGAAGGCAGCUUACCGGAGCGCAACUGACGCUGAGGCUCGAAAGCGCGGGUAUCGAACAGGAUUAGAUACCCUGGUAGUCCGCGCGGUAAACGAUGGAUGCCCGCCGUUGGGAUUUGGAUUUCAGCGGCCAAGCGAAAGCGUUAAGCAUCCCACCUGGGGAGUACGCCGGCAACGGUGAAACUCAAAGGAAUUGACGGGGGCCCGCACAAGCGGAGGAACAUGUGGUUUAAUUCGAUGAUACGCGAGGAACCUUACCCGGGCUUGAAUUGCAGGAGAACGAUCCAGAGAUGGUGAGGCCCUUCGGGGCUCCUGUGAAGGUGCUGCAUGGUUGUCGUCAGCUCGUGCCGUGAGGUGUCGGCUCAAGUGCCAUAACGAGCGCAACCCCUGUCCAUAGUUGCCAUCAGGUUAUGCUGGGCACUCUGUGGAGACUGCCGCCGUAAGGUGUGAGGAAGGUGGGGAUGACGUCAAAUCAGCA